RNAcentral lists this ribosomal RNA (427 nucleotides) under uncultured Moraxella sp. RNAcentral describes it as "bacterial SSU rRNA". It matches the Rfam family "Bacterial small subunit ribosomal RNA", at positions 355 to 774 of the family's 1533-position model. Lineage: Bacteria; Pseudomonadati; Pseudomonadota; Gammaproteobacteria; Moraxellales; Moraxellaceae. The record is from RNAcentral.
UGGGGAAUAUUGGACAAUGGGCGAAAGCCUGAUCCAGCCAUGCCGCGUGUGUGAAGAAGGCCUUUUGGUUGUAAAGCACUUUAAGUGGGGAGGAAAAGCUUAUGGUUAAUACCCAUAAGCCCUGACGUUACCCACAGAAUAAGCACCGGCUAACUCUGUGCCAGCAGCCGCGGUAAUACAGAGGGUGCAAGCGUUAAUCGGAAUUACUGGGCGUAAAGCGCGCGUAGGUGGUUAUUUAAGUCAGAUGUGAAAGCCCCGGGCUUAACCUGGGAACUGCAUCUGAUACUGGAUAACUAGAGUAGGUGAGAGGGGAGUAGAAUUCCAGGUGUAGCGGUGAAAUGCGUAGAGAUCUGGAGGAAUACCGAUGGCGAAGGCAGCUCCCUGGCAUCAUACUGACACUGAGGUGCGAAAGCGUGGGUAGCAAACA